CUGUGCAACUGGGCUCCAGCUUCACGCUCCAGCUGGGCCCAUGUCCGAUAACAUUCAUCCAUCAUCCUUGUGUAGAAGUCCUCGGGGACUUCGGCCCUGGAAUUUCAAUGCCUCCUAGACCAAGCUGGGCACCGGGAAUGCUGCCUCCCCCUGCUGGCUUUUCCUCUCUGCAGCUUGACUUCCUCCAGAGAUCUUCAGGGGCAGCUAAGAACUUGGCAGGAUGCCCAGGGUUUGGCCCUCCUCCCUGGCGGGUGGGGAGGUCAGGGAGUAGAUGCAGGGGCCAACUGGGAGGGCAGUUUUGUGAUUAUGAAAUCAUUCUCGGUGUGUUUUACUUUCUUGUUGAAAAAGGAGAAUAAAUGAUACUGGGGGAAAAAAAAAAACUAGGAAAGGACGGCGAGAGGAAGGACCUUGUCCUCGGGCACACGGGGAGCCAGGCGCUAGCUCAGCACACAUAGGGGCCAUGUGUAGAGAAGCCUUCUGUGCCAGGCAGCAGGCUCAAUGGGUAUUGUUACAGACACUGGGGACAGAGCCAGAGUUGGCAGGUCCUGAUUCUUAUACAAUUUGGGGGUCCAUUUUAAGAUAAAAGAAAAGGGGGGAUUGGAGGCACAGCUCAGCGGUAGACUUUUGUGUUUGGCAUGCUUGAGGUCCUGGGUUCAAUACUCAGCACUAAAAAUAAAAGAGAGAGAAAAAAAGAAAAAAUUAGUCAUGCAAAAUUAGAUGGCAGGACUUUGAAGAGACCGCUCAAUUAGGGAGCCCCAUGGUUGAAGUUUUAUUAGCUUCCUGAUUCUAGAUGGCCUCAAGUUCUCUGUCAGUCUUCUCAUCACAUGCUUGCCUAGUAGAAUACAGUGACGGCCACACUCUAGCCCAUGCCUUUGGACAACAUCCUCUUCUUGCCUUGAAGAAUUCGCUCUCAGACCCUUAACCACCAUGUUAGAAGUCUAGCCACUCUGUGAGAGAGAGAAGACGAGAAAAGUCCCAGGAUGACACCGACAGUCACAUGUUAAGAGAGAAGCUAUUUUGGACCUUGUGUCCAGACCAACUAACCACCACCGAGUGACCCAUGACCCAACAGCCAAGCUGUGUCAGCAUUCCUCAGUUUUAUGAAGUAAAAUAAAAUGCUUUUUAGACCCUAA
RNAcentral lists this small RNA (1133 nucleotides) under Rattus norvegicus (Norway rat). RNAcentral's name for it is "uncharacterized LOC102551552". Lineage: Eukaryota; Metazoa; Chordata; Mammalia; Rodentia; Muridae. The record is from RNAcentral.